Zootermopsis nevadensis is the source of this 2140-nucleotide non-coding RNA. The record is from RefSeq and is a predicted model, not a curated record. NCBI's taxonomy places the organism in Eukaryota, Metazoa, Arthropoda, Insecta, Blattodea, Termopsidae.
UACAAAUCAUACAUGAUGGGGGGGAAAAAAGAACACUUAAUGAAGACAGAUCCCAAAUUUUCCUAUACACAAGGCAUGACAAAUCUACAUGUAUCAAUCUAUAUAAGAGGCAAGUGUCUGUAUCUGCAUCCAUUCUCGCUUCAUACAAGGACUCCAAAGUUACCGCCAUGGUAAGAAAUACUACUGGCACUUAUUUUCCAAAAGUGCUUUUAGUACUGUCAAUUCGCUCUUCUUCUGUCUUCAAGUGAUUCAAAAUUACACUUUCACAGACAAUUUCAGUAUCAGGAACAUGAAAAUGCAACACAAGGGCAAAUCAGGUAUUAUGGAUGUUCCAACAUUGAUAGUUGAUCUUUAGCACAAUUUAAGGUGCUAUACAAGCAAGCAUUUGCCUGGUAGGACAGAAAACCACAAAAAAAACCUCAGUCAGGAUAGCCUGUCUCUGAGACGAGAUUUGAAUCUGGGGCCUCCAGAAAACGAAGCUGAGUGCUAACCACUCGGCCGCGACUGUUGGUCCGUCUCGUAUACUGAUAGAUGACAGAAGUUAAAUGCGACCAACAAUUUCUGGUGUGGAUUUCAACUUAAAGUUUAAGUGAAAUCCGCAGGUGGGUGGACGAAAAUAAACCCAACCUGACGACUGUCUGGGAGGUUGCCCAGUGUAAUCUCGCAGAAACUGAUCGACGUUUCAGAGCUGCUUACUGCAGCAAGCACCUCUGAAAUGUGGGUCAGUUUUUACCAGACUACAGUGCGCAACAUCCCAGUAGACAUACUCGCCGUCAACACAACCUCUCUUGCAUUCAUACACUUCAUCGUUUCUUUUGUGAAGAACAGAAAAGAAAUCAAUGUGUAAAAUGCGUUUUUAUAUUUCAAAAAAACAGUCGUUUUAUUUCAGCUAACAUGAGAGCCAGGAACCUAGAACUUGCAACUUUCUACCUAACACGUGGUAAAUUCCUUAGUCAACACAGCUUUUGUGUCAUUAGCGACAGGAAUACAAAUCUAAGCCAACUAAACACGAUGACUGAGAAUAUGGGUUAACCAGAAAACAAAACAGCCGUGUACAGAAUUGACCACAGGUGUCCAUUUGUGUAACAAUGUGCAGCGAACAAUGGCUGACUCAUACUAGAGAUAAGUACCCAACAUGUCGGAGUCCUCCCUCCCAUGAAAAGCUUGCAACACAAUAACUACGCACUGAAUACGAUAAACUAUUUACGUUCUUCUCUCUGACGUGACAAACAGGCGUUGACCUAAACAAAAAAAAGCUGUGGGGUUAACCCGACAGUCUCCCGGCUCAUUUUAAUCAGACCCGUGGUUAUACUCUGCUGCGUCGCAGUUCCUUCAGUAGUUCCUGAACCAAGUUUGUCCAUAUUUCCUGAAGAUGAACAUCUUGCAGCAACACUGAACACGAAUUACGAAAUUCUUAAUAAGGCAGGAAGGAGACCUCUCGAAAUUCUGAAGGACUAUUUGCAUGUAUUCAUUUAUCUGCAGGUCAUUUAAACACGCUGUCAGUAGUUCAGGCAAUAUAGCGUUGAAUGAUGGGAUUAACAAUUAAUUGGAAAGGGCGUGGAAGGAAGCGGUAGUGGCCCAAGGUACUACCCCAAUAUUUGUCUUGUGGGACUGUGUGAAACCACAAAAAAAAAUAUCAUACGAUAUAUGACAACUCGUCUCCAGGACGAGACUUGAACUUGGGACUAUAGAAAAGAAAGGAGAGACGCUAACCACUCGGCGGCAACGUCUCAGACGUUCGUUCGCGAAGAGAACCGGUAGCAAUACUUGGAACGAAGCGACCGGUACAACGCUCUGAAGAAUUCAGUCACUCGGAACAAUAAAACACGCAGUUAAUUUUCCCCCCUCCUUGGGAAACGGAAUUAAUUCAUGUAAAAUGUGAAAGUCAAAAAGAGCGUGGUAGAAGAAACAUAUGAGAAAAGCCAAAGUAUUGCAUACAAAAGCAGCCAGGGAUAUAAUCAUCAGCUGAAGAGGAUGGACUCAUGAAUAAAUCAGGUAUAGCCUUGGGACUUCAUAAAUGGAUGUACUUACAGUCUGCAUAGUAAUGAGGAACUCAGGAAACAUUCCAUACGAUUGCAGGCACAUGCCAAAAGUGGUUGGCUUUUAUUAACAGGAAUUAAUAAAUUAAACACAAAAAUGC